This 253-nucleotide ribosomal RNA is filed under the name uncultured bacterium. RNAcentral describes it as "partial 16S ribosomal RNA". It matches the Rfam family "Bacterial small subunit ribosomal RNA", at positions 524 to 776 of the family's 1533-position model. The record is from RNAcentral.
GACGAACCGUGCGAACGUUAUUCGGAAUCACUGGGCUUAAAGGGCGCGUAGGCGGGCUGCCAAGUCAGAGGUGAAAUCCUGCGGCUCAACCGCAGAAGUGCCCCUGAUACUGGUAGUCUCGAGGGGGGUAGGGGCAUGUGGAACUUCCGGUGGAGCGGUGAAAUGCGUAGAUAUCUGGAGGAACACCGGUGGCGAAGGCGGCAUCCUGGACCGGCAUUGACGCUGAGGCGCGAAAGCCAGGGGAGCAAACGGG